UUUCCGUAGGUGAACCUGCGGAAGGAUCAUUCAUAAUAAGUGUUUUAUGGCACUUUUUUAAAUCCAUAUCCACCUUGUGUGCAAUGUCAGGGUUGAUUUUUCUCUCGAGAGGAUCAGGCCCAAACAUCAACUAUAUCUCAACUCUUUGUCUGAAAAAUAUUAUGAAUAAAACAAUUCAAAUACAACUUUCAACAACGGAUCUCUUGGCUCUC
Molecule: unclassified non-coding RNA, 212 nt
Filed under: plant metagenome
Description: partial contains small subunit ribosomal RNA, internal transcribed spacer 1, and 5.8S ribosomal RNA
Source: RNAcentral